AGGAACCUUCCUUGACCCCAUGUUCCCUUCUUUCCAGGGGGAAGGAAGAAGAAUUUCUCUUUGCCUCCUUAGUCUCUCAAUCAAGUUUGGCUGUGGAAUGAUCUCCAGGAGGAGGAUUUUCUUGAGAAUAAUUCCAUCUUCAAUCAUGCUUUUCCAUACUCUAGGCUAAUUUGUUCGCUCUUAUCCUUUUCUUUGCCUCUUCUUUCAUAAAAUACAAGCUAUUGGCCAUUGGGUUACUGUUCUUCUGAUUGCUUUUCAUCAAUUCUGAUCAGUAGAUGAAGAGUAAAAGUGGUGAAUUCUUCAUCUAUGCCAGUCCGUUGGGCGAUCGGGCUCUUGGGAAUUCCAAGGCAUUCGAGACAGAGGCAGAGCCUCUAUAUUUUUUCAGCCUCAGGUGAGAAAACAAGACUUCAGUUUAUUGUUGGGAAGAAGAAUGAUAUGCUGCUCAAAAAAUUUUCCUCUCUUUGUUUUGUCCUGUCUUUUUUAUUUGUCUUGUUAUUAUCCUUUUCUUUAAUGUGCAACAAGUGCUAAUGAUGUGAUUAUUAUUUUGGUUGCUUAUAUCUAAGAAUUUUGCUGAGAAGUUGGAUUUUUUAUUCCUAGGCUCCUCUAAGUGCUUAUAUUAGUUCAAACAUAUCAAUACUAAGAUAUCUGUAUUCAAGAAGAAGAG
RNAcentral lists this long non-coding RNA (664 nucleotides) under Elaeis guineensis (African oil palm). Its description in RNAcentral is "long non-coding RNA (EGUI_LNC008285)". The record is from RNAcentral. Lineage: Eukaryota; Viridiplantae; Streptophyta; Magnoliopsida; Arecales; Arecaceae.